AGCGAACGCUGGCGGCAGGCUUAACACAUGCAAGUCGAGCGGGGUGAUGGUGCUUGCACUAUCACUUAGCGGCGGACGGGUGAGUAAUGCUUAGGAAUCUGCCUAUUAGUGGGGGACAACAUCUCGAAAGGGAUGCUAAUACCGCAUACGUCCUACGGGAGAAAGCAGGGGAUCACUUGUGACCUUGCGCUAAUAGAUGAGCCUAAGUCGGAUUAGCUAGUUGGUGGGGUAAAGGCCUACCAAGGCGACGAUCUGUAGCGGGUCUGAGUGGAUGAUCCGCCACACUGGGACUGAGACACGGCCCAGACUCCUACGGGAGGCAGCGGUGGGGAAUAUUGGACAAUGGGGGGAACCCUGAUCCAGCCAUGCCGCGUGUGUGAAGAAGGCCUUAUGGUUGUAAAGCACUUUAAGCGAGGAGGAGGCUCCUUUGGUUAAUACCCAAGAUGAGCGGACGUUACUCGCAGAAUAAGCACCGGCUAACUCUGUGCCAGCCGCCGCCGUAA
Molecule: ribosomal RNA, 503 nt
Filed under: uncultured bacterium
Lineage: Bacteria
Description: partial 16S ribosomal RNA
Rfam family: Bacterial small subunit ribosomal RNA
Source: RNAcentral